Long non-coding RNA from Leopardus geoffroyi (Geoffroy's cat), 578 nucleotides. RefSeq lists it as uncharacterized. The transcript has 3 exons. The record is from RefSeq and is a predicted model, not a curated record. Lineage: Eukaryota; Metazoa; Chordata; Mammalia; Carnivora; Felidae.
CUGAGCCACCCACAUGCCCCGUGAGAUCUUUAUAGAGAAUAUUUUAAACCAAUAUUGAAGGGCAUAAAACAAUGACUAAGUAAACAGAAAUGCAGUAUUCAAUGAUUGGAAGAUUCUACUUUGUAAAGAUGUCCCCCGAUGAAUCUAGACCUUCUAUGUCACUCCAAUCAAAAUCCCAACCAGCUGUUGUUAAUGGAAUUUUAGAACUUGAUCCUAAAACUCAUCUGGAACAGCACAGGGGCAAAAUCAGCCAAUAAAAAUGUUAAGAACGAGGUGGAAGAACCUGGAAACACAACAAAACAAUGAAGUUCCAGCAAUAACGUCAGCAUGGUAAAGGAAGAGAUAAAUUAGAACCAUGGACCCAAACGGAAAGCUGAGAAAUACAGUCACACAUAUACGGAAAAGUCACUUAAGACAAAAGUGUUACUACAUAGCAAUAGCAGUCUGAAACUGAACUCCUAAUAUCUCCAAGGUGAAGGAACCACGGCUGGACGAGAUGAAGUGACUUGGCUGCAACCACACAGCAUCACUACUUUGGCUCAGCUUUUAUGCAGGUUUUAUUUGUCCCUACAUGCCUC